CGCUGGCUCCGUGCCCGUCCACCGAACGGUUCGGCAGGCGAUCCGCGUCGGUCGCGCUGGGUGGUAUGGUUCCCCAGAGGCCGGUUCUUGUGCUGCCUACCCCUUCAGGGGAAGAAGUUUCAAACUCGAUGUAAGCCUCCAUCCGGCGCCCUCCAGAGGGCGCGGGAGGACAACGGAGCACCCCCCGCGUUCCACCGAGCCUCCUCGGUCGCGUGGCCCGCGGGGACGUGCGAUGCUCUCGGACCCAGCGAACGCCGUGGGCGAGGACUCACGUCCCGGUCCCAAGUGAAGCAAACGGUAUAACGCCGACGGCCGCUCCCGCCCCCCGACCGCCCCGGCGACGCGAGGGCGAAGGCGCGACGUCGCUGAGGAAUGCUACCU
Molecule: unclassified non-coding RNA, 381 nt
Filed under: Acacia dangarensis
Lineage: Eukaryota; Viridiplantae; Streptophyta; Magnoliopsida; Fabales; Fabaceae
Description: partial external transcribed spacer
Source: RNAcentral